Molecule: long non-coding RNA, 1251 nt
Organism: Tympanuchus pallidicinctus (lesser prairie-chicken)
Lineage: Eukaryota; Metazoa; Chordata; Aves; Galliformes; Phasianidae
Exons: 3
Source: RefSeq, a predicted model, not a curated record
CUGGAGCCAGGAUCCACCCCUUACAGACCUCAUUUAAGGGUUGGCAGGGUGGGUGAGGGUUUUUUGCUGGAGAUCCGUGCCUACUUGAGGCCUUCCAAAAGUAUCAGAUUCCCUAAAGAAAAACACACAUUUCAGGACAAGGCUUAUUCUAGGGCGAGGAGCAAUUCUCAACCUUACUGGUCCUGAAGGAGUUCCAGAGAACAAGAAAUUUCUUGGUUUCAACCAAAUGUUCAGUUCCUUUAAGGGACCUGGAGUUUAUUGAAAUCAGGAAGGAGCUAUUUUUUUCUUUCUGGACAACCCACAUGAGGAGGGUGCAGAAAUCUGCCUACUGCUCCUGAAUAUUAAACACAACAAGACAAAAAGACUUUUCAUGCGCAUGUGUUCUGCUAAAGGCUUUUCCUCCUUUCCCAAGUAAACUUUCAUGCAGUGCAUUAAGGGCAUCUGGAGAUGAGUGGGAGUAUCUAUUGUUAGGAGAGAAACAUCAUGUUAACCCAAACUACUGUACUUUGAGUGUAAUACCGGCCUAGAUUUCUUAAUUGACUUGUAUGUCAUCAAGAUCAUGGAGAAGUUGCCUCUGAUGCAAUGAAAAAGAGGGAUGAAAUAAUCCUCCACACCAAAACAAAACAGAAAAAGCCAUGAAAAAUCAGGACUGUAGCACUAAGGAGUCUGUGAAAUCAAAUGAAGAUAUGGAGCUUCCCACUGUUGUGCCUAGAAUGAAAACUUCAGCAGAAGCUAAGUUAUCUUCUACAGAGCUGGUCAGGGAUCUUCCAUGAGGCAAUACUUAACUAAAAUACUGCUUGAGCUUAUAGCAUAGAAGGGCUAUCAUGCUCUUAAUAGAACAAUCUUUCCUUACUAUUCUGUGAUAAGAAACCUCUGCUUAAUGUGUAUGUUUUGAGAAGAGUUAGUGAUGUCUUCAGAUUAAAAAAAUAAAUAUUUUGCCUUUAUAUUAAAGAAAGAUGAACUACAGCUCUUCAGGUAAAUUGAAUUUGGAAGCAUGUACCUGAGUAUAGAAGAUAACAUAGUAGAACAGACAGUAUGCUAACAGAUAUAGAAGUGAAAGUAAAAUAAAUAUAGAAGAAGAUGUAUGGAAGAGUGUGAAAUAUUUUUAUGCAAGUUUUUCAUAUUUCUAGGGAAAAAAAAUUAUGUCUUGGUUGCGAGAUUCAUGUCCUUGAACCUGGAAAAUUUUUCUGCUUUUAUGUAUUUUGUGGUAACUGCUAUUUUAAGUGCUGUGUUAUAAUGUGUAAAUAAACA